CGUAUGGUGUCCGGCACAGGAUCGGAUGGCGAUGCGGCCCAAUUGAGGU
Molecule: non-coding RNA, 49 nt
Filed under: Pseudidiomarina sediminum
Lineage: Bacteria; Pseudomonadati; Pseudomonadota; Gammaproteobacteria; Alteromonadales; Idiomarinaceae
Also listed under: 1 other name
Description: L31-Gammaproteobacteria ribosomal protein leader
Rfam family: L31-Gammaproteobacteria ribosomal protein leader
Source: RNAcentral